RNAcentral lists this ribosomal RNA (497 nucleotides) under uncultured bacterium. RNAcentral's name for it is "partial 16S ribosomal RNA". It matches the Rfam family "Bacterial small subunit ribosomal RNA", at positions 28 to 507 of the family's 1533-position model. The record is from RNAcentral.
GAUGAACGCUGGCGGCGUGCCUAAUACAUGCAAGUCGAGCGAACAGACGAGGAGCUUGCUCCUCUGACGUUAGCGGCGGACGGGUGAGUAACACGUGGAUAACCUACCUAUAAGACUGGGAUAACUUCGGGAAACCGGAGCUAAUACCGGAUAAUAUAUUGAACCGCAUGGUUCAAUAGUGAAAGACGGUUUUGCUGUCACUUAUAGAUGGAUCCGCGCCGCAUUAGCUAGUUGGUAAGGUAACGGCUUACCAAGGCAACGAUGCGUAGCCGACCUGAGAGGGUGAUCAGCCACACUGGAACUGAGACGCGCUCCAGACUCCUAAGGGAGGCAGCAGAAGGGAAUCUUCCGCAAUGGGCGAAAGCCUGACAGAGCAACGCCGCGUGAGUGAUGAAGGUCUUCGGAUCGUAAAACUCUGUUAUUAGGGAAGAACAAAUGUGUAAGUAACUAUGCACGUCUUGACGGUACCUAAUCAGAAAGCCACGGCUAACUACGUG